RNAcentral lists this ribosomal RNA (407 nucleotides) under uncultured bacterium. RNAcentral describes it as "partial 16S ribosomal RNA". It matches the Rfam family "Bacterial small subunit ribosomal RNA", at positions 28 to 526 of the family's 1533-position model. The record is from RNAcentral.
GACGAACGCUGGCGGCGUGCCUAAUACAUGCAAGUAGGACGCAGUUGCGAACGGGUGGGUAACGCGUAGGUAACUACCUAUUAGAGGGGGAUAACUAUUGGAAACGAUAGCUAAUAACGCAUACUAGUAGAUGGAACUGCGUUGUAUUAGCUAGUAGGUAGGGAAAUGGCAUACCUAGGCAACGAUACAUAGGCGACCUGGUAGGGGUAGCGGCCACAAUGGGACGUAGGCAACGCCCAGACUCCUACGGGAGGGAGCAGGAGGGAAUCUUCGGCAAUGGGGGGAACCCCUACCGAGCAACGCCGCGUGAUUGAAGAAGGUUUUCGGAUCGUAAAGCUCCGUUGUUAAGGAAGCGUUACUUAACCAGAAAGGGACGGCUAACUACGUGCCAGCAGCCGCGGUAAUAC